Carassius carassius (crucian carp) is the source of this 1266-nucleotide long non-coding RNA. RefSeq lists it as uncharacterized. The record is from RefSeq and is a predicted model, not a curated record. Lineage: Eukaryota; Metazoa; Chordata; Actinopteri; Cypriniformes; Cyprinidae. The transcript is spliced from 4 exons.
GUUGAAGAAGAUGCCUCCGCUCGAUCCUGUUUCUGGAUACUCUUUUCUCCAUGGACGCCCAGUGUCUGACGACACAAAUACAGAGACAGUCACUGCCGAUGUUCUAUGCAGACCGAGCUAUGACUUGCGGGGACAUGUCAUCUACAAAAAAAGUGCAGGUCAGAGUUCCAAAUGGCUGGAUUUCCCAAAGAGCCACAUCCUGGGAGUAUCAAUGAGAACACCAUAGGGCUGUUUAUUUGGCGCAUGCUAGGUUAGAGGGUCCCUGCCGCUGAGAGGAUGGCGACAGGAAGAGGAUGCCAUAGUGGUAAAUUCAUGACAUUUGAUCCAAUAACUGGCACGUGAAGAGAGCAGGGAGCACAGAUGUAAAGAGAACGGGAAAAGAACAGUGGCAAAUAACAGGCACAAGAAGGAGUCACCCACCCUCUUGCAGUUUAUAAACUCUGUGCCCCCAUUUCAUCUCACCGUCAUAAUGAUCUGUCGAUGUUUAAUCAUUUCUCAUUAAAGCAAGAUCAACUGCGAUGUUUCCCUUCUGCCCUCUUAGCUCUCUGAACUUUUUUAUAUCCACAUUCUUUGUCUCACCCAACUCUCACUCACUGCUCACCCUGUGCUCCAGCUCAGCCCUCCUAAUCCCAAAGGUUAUUCUGAUACAGAGACAAAUGGGUUUCUAAUACCUAAUAGUCCUGCACACAUCUCCAUAAACACAUCAGCUAGGCCUUCCUAAUAAAGCAGUGACGGUCAAAGUCACGCCACUCUAGUAAAAUUAGGCUCUAAAUGAGGUGGUCCAUGUCUGAGACCUUCAUCCAGACUUCCUCAAGAUGUUUCAACAAGACAAACAAGGAAUGCACCAUAGAUUGGCUGUUUUAAAUCUUGGCCUGGGACUGAGGGAUGUUGUUUUUGUCUAUUUCUGUUGUACAGUUGGGACUGUAAUUGCCCUGUGACAGACCCCAGGCCUUCAGUGUUGGGAAUGUUCAAUUGGCUGCUUCUUAAAGAGUGAGGUCGGACCACACACUUGGAGAAGAUUGAAUAUUUGUGGCAUCUUUAUGUCUCAUAGGGUGAGUUAAGUGUCCUGGCUUUCUAGUCAUAUCUUUUGAGAGUUUUGAAGCAGAAUAGACCCCCUUGUAUUAUGACUGAAAGAAUCCAUAUUGUUCAGCUUAAUGUCUUUUCUGUGGAAACACAUUUUCUUCCCAAGCGUUCUGUGUGAGUGAGCAGAGACAACCAGAUGUGCAUGUUUUACAGUAACAUUAUUCUAAAGCUCUUACCAGUUUU